UCGAACGGGGUACCCUUGAAGGAGGCUUCGGCCAACAGAUAGGAAUACCUAGUGGCGGACGGGUGAGUAACGCGUGAGGAACCUGCCUUGGAGUGGGGAAUAACAGUUAGAAAUAGCUGCUAAUACCGCAUAAUGCAAUGGAGUCGCAUGGCUCUGUUGCCAAAGAUUUAUCGCUCUGAGAUGGCCUCGCGUCUGAUUAGAUAGUUGGCGGGGUAACGGCCCACCAAGUCGACGAUCAGUAGCCGGACUGAGAGGUUGGCCGGCCACAUUGGGACUGAGACACGGCCCAGACUCCUACGGGAGGCAGCAGUGGGGAAUAUUGGGCAAUGGGCGCAAGCCUGACCCAGCAACGCCGCGUGAAGGAAGAAGGCCCUCGGGUUGUAAACUUCUUUUAACAGGGACGAAGAAAGUGACGGUACCGGUUGAAUAAGCCACGGCUAACUACGUGCCAGCAGCCGCGGUAAUACGUAGGUGGCAAGCGUUAUCCGGAUUUACUGGGUGUAAAGGGCGUGUAGGCGGGAGAGCAAGUCAGACGUGAAAUUCCAG
Molecule: ribosomal RNA, 546 nt
Filed under: uncultured bacterium
Lineage: Bacteria
Description: bacterial SSU rRNA
Rfam family: Bacterial small subunit ribosomal RNA
Source: RNAcentral